This is a small nucleolar RNA of Malania oleifera, 98 nucleotides long. RefSeq annotates it as small nucleolar RNA snoR109. Lineage: Eukaryota; Viridiplantae; Streptophyta; Magnoliopsida; Santalales; Ximeniaceae. The record is from RefSeq and is a predicted model, not a curated record. The transcript has a single exon.
CAGUCAUAGCUAAAUUGAUACCGAGAGGUUAAUUGGCUGUUCAUCAUGAGAUCUUAUGAUCCCCAUCGGCAAAUUUGCCUCCCGAGCCUCUCACACCU